AGAACGAGGGGACGUAACGGAGGCAGGUUGGAGCCGCUGCCGUCGCCAUGACCCGCGGUAACCAGCGUGAGCUCGCCCGCCAGAAGAAUAUGAAAAAGCAGAGCGACUCGGUUAAGGGAAAGCGCCGAGAUGACGGGCUUUCUGCUGCCGCCCGCAAGCAGAGGUAGCCCCAGGGAGGGGAGGGAAAGGGACGGUGGAGACCUGGGUUAGACCAAGGGUUAUAGCAGGAAAGAGAGCUACCUCAGGGCUUGAAUGUGGACUAGUCGUGAGGAGCAGAGUGCAUUGCUUCCUCUAGGGUUUUAUUCCCUCCCCACCCUCCAAAUUGUUAGCUCACAGCCUUACAGGAAAGGACGGGGGCGGGCGCCUGCCCUCAGUCUGAUUUCUGAGCGUCCCUGGGUCUGACCUUAAGGGCAAGGGCAGGGAGCUUCACAUUUCAAAUACAGUUGUGGUUACGGCAGCCCAAUACUUUUGGCCCUCCUUGCUGUUCGGUUCUCCUCCCUUCUCCCAACCUCCUCACUGGUGUUGCUGGGUGUGGUACUCAAUACAGAAUAGAGAGCCUUGGGCCUGUGUCACCAGACUUCUGACCCCUUGGGCAACAGCCAGAUGGAGACUGGUCGCCUUUUGAGCCUCAGCUCUCUUCCUCUUGUUCUCCUAGGGUGGGAGUACAGCAGCCAAACGCUGAACUUAGUCCCAUCCACUUCCAUCUUAUCCUUUGUGCCCUUCAUCCCCCUGCAUCUUGUCCUUUUUGCCCUCUGGUACCUCCCAGUGCCCCAUCAUCUCUACCCCCAGGGACUCGGAGAUCAUGCAGCAGAAGCAGAAAAAGGCAAACGAGAAGAAGGAGGAACCCAAGUAGCUUUGUGGCUUCGUGUCCAACCCUCUUGCCCUUCGCCUGUGUGCCUGGAGCCAGUCCCACCACGCUCGCGUUUCCUCCUGUAGUGCUCACAGGUCCCAGCACCGAUGGCAUUCCCUUUGCCCUGAGUCUGCAGCGGGUCCCUUUUGUGCUUCCUUCCCCUCAGGUAGCCUCUCUCCC
RNAcentral lists this small RNA (1030 nucleotides) under Pan troglodytes (chimpanzee). RNAcentral describes it as "retained intron". The record is from RNAcentral. Lineage: Eukaryota; Metazoa; Chordata; Mammalia; Primates; Hominidae.